This 484-nucleotide ribosomal RNA is filed under the name uncultured bacterium. RNAcentral's name for it is "partial 16S ribosomal RNA". It matches the Rfam family "Bacterial small subunit ribosomal RNA", at positions 30 to 507 of the family's 1533-position model. The record is from RNAcentral.
AUUGAACGCUGGCGGCAGGCCUAACACAUGCAAGUCGAGCGGAUGAAGGGAGCUUGCUCCUGGAUUCAGCGGCGGACGGGUGAGUAAUGCCUAGGAAUCUGCCUGGUCGUGGGGGAUAACGUCCGGAAACGGGCGCUAAUACCGCAUACGUCCUGAGGGAGAAAGUGGGGGAUCUUCGGACCUCACGCUAUCAGAUGACCCUAGGUCGGAUUAGCUAGUUGGUGGGGUAAAGGCCUACCAAGGCGACGAUCCGUAACUGGUCUGAGAGGAUGAUCAGUCACACUGGAACUGAGACACGGUCCAGACUCCUACGGGAGGCAGCAGUGGGGAAUAUUGGACAAUGGGCGAAAGCCUGAUCCAGCCAUGCCGCGUGUGUGAAGAAGGUCUUCGGAUUGUAAAGCACUUUAAGUUGGGAGGAAGGGCAGUAAGUUAAUACCUUGCUGUUUUGACGUUACCAACAGAAUAAGCACCGGCUAACUUCGUG